This 253-nucleotide ribosomal RNA is filed under the name uncultured bacterium. RNAcentral's name for it is "partial 16S ribosomal RNA". It matches the Rfam family "Bacterial small subunit ribosomal RNA", at positions 524 to 776 of the family's 1533-position model. The record is from RNAcentral.
UACAGAGGGUGCAAGCGUUAUUCGGAAUUAUUGGGCGUAAAGGGCGCGUAGGCGGCUUGGCAAGUGGAUGGUGAAAUCCCUCGGCUUAACCGAGGAACUGCCAUCCAGACUGCUUUGCUUGAGGCCGGGAGAGGUAAGUGGAAUUCCCAGUGUAGCGGUGAAAUGCGUAGAUAUUGGGAGGAACACCAGUGGCGAAGGCGGCUUACUGGACCGGUUCUGACGCUGAGGCGCGAAAGCGUGGGGAGCAAACGGG